This 393-nucleotide ribosomal RNA is filed under the name Candidatus Endomicrobiellum roisinitermitis. Its description in RNAcentral is "bacterial SSU rRNA". It matches the Rfam family "Bacterial small subunit ribosomal RNA", at positions 1 to 391 of the family's 1533-position model. The record is from RNAcentral. Lineage: Bacteria; Pseudomonadati; Elusimicrobiota; Endomicrobiia; Endomicrobiales; Endomicrobiaceae.
UUUAUGGAGAGUUUGAUCCUGGCUCAGAGUGAACGCUGGCGGCGUGCCUAACACAUGCAAGUCGUGCGAGAUUUUGCAGAGUAUCGCAGAAUUUAGCGGCAAACGGGUGAGUAACACGUAGGAAACCUCCCUCAAAAUGGGGAAUAUCUCCGAGAAAUCGGAGUCAAUACCACAUAAUACCACAGCUUGGCAUCAAGCAAGGGUUAAAGCAGUAAUGCGUUUUGGGAUGGUCCUGCGGACUAUAAGCUAGUUGGUGGGAUUAAGGCCUACCAAGUCUAUGACGGGUAUCCGGCCUGAAAGGGUGAACGGACACACUGGAACUGAGACACGGUCCAGACUCCUACGGGAGGCAGCAGUGGGGAAUUUUGGACAAUGGGGGAAACCCUGAUCCAG